GGUACUCCAGGGCAGGCGAGCGGGGUAUGACGGAGGGUUGGAGAGUUGAGCGGAAUUAAUGGUGGUAAAGCGGGCGUAGGUGGUGUGUUAAGCGAGAUGUGAAAGCCCUGGGCUCAACGUAGGAAUAGCAUUUCGAACUGGCGAACUAGAGUCUUGUAGAGGGGGGUAGAAUUCCAGGUGUAGCGGUGAAAUGCGUAGAGAUCUGGAGGAAUACCGGUGGCGAAGGCGGCCCCCUGGACAAAGACUGACGCUCAGGUGCGAAAGCGUGGGGAGCAAACAGGAUUAGAUACCCUUGUAGUC
This 300-nucleotide ribosomal RNA is filed under the name uncultured Actinoplanes sp. RNAcentral describes it as "partial 16S ribosomal RNA". It matches the Rfam family "Bacterial small subunit ribosomal RNA", at positions 497 to 795 of the family's 1533-position model. The record is from RNAcentral. Lineage: Bacteria; Bacillati; Actinomycetota; Actinomycetes; Micromonosporales; Micromonosporaceae.